UUUGGUUUAUUUUGUUUUGUAUACUCAGACAAUUCACGAUUGAACAAGAGUUUUGGUUGAGGGCCAUCGGCGGGCGCGGGCCAGAGGGUGUGAGCCCUCCGGCGGUCGACCCCUAUUUCUAGGGGGGACGGGCCGGCCGAAGCAACAAGAGGUAAGGUAGGCAAAGGGUUGGAGGUCGGGCCUGGAAGACCCUAACUCAGUAAUGAUCCUUCCGCAGGUUCACCUACGGAAA
This 232-nucleotide unclassified non-coding RNA is filed under the name uncultured fungus. Its description in RNAcentral is "sequence contains ITS1". The record is from RNAcentral. Lineage: Eukaryota; Fungi.